UCCAGGGGAUCUAAUACCUUCACACCAAUGCACAUAAAGAAAAUUAAAUAAAUUAUUUAAAAAUAAAUAAAUAAAUAGUUGCUAUUAAUUAUUAAAUUUGUUUCCUAUGAUCUCAGCAGAAGGUGCUGUGUUAGUGUGUAAGCCCUGGUCCCCAAGAACACAGCCAUCUCCCCUGACUGCGGAGGAAUUUAGGCACGUGGGGCUCACAGCAGCUGUCCUCUCCGCACACACACAGAAGGAAGAACAGAACUACGUUGACAGGUUCCGGGAGAGGAUCCUAACCUCACCCUACAGUUGUUACCUUCAGCAGGAGAGCAGAAACAACGCUAAGUGCUCUUCUGUUCAAGGCCCUCAGUCUGUUCCGGCUUUCCCUUCUGCCUACUUGGACACAUUCACGACCAUCUUCCUACACAACUCCCCCAUCUUUCCUCUGUGGUCAGCGUCAUUCCCCUCGUAUCCAUUCCUGGGGGCCACAGCUUCUUCUGGAAUGACACCCUUAGUACCAGCAAUGGCUCCACACCUGGAACCAACUUCUUCAGACCACAGCCAAAGGAGAGUGGGGGAAAGCUGGGAGACACACGGUGAAGAGCAUCCAUUUAUCAGCUCAAGGAGCAGUUCGCCAUUACAGUUAAAUUUACUCCAGGAAGAGAUGCCUGCACCGUCUGAAUCUCCAGAUCCAGUGAGAAAGGGCAUUGGCCCAGAGUCUGAGUGUGUAAGUGUCAGUACAUGAGUGAGUGAGAAAAUCUGGGUCCUCUUACCAAGUCAAAGGCCCAACGCUGACGGCUUCAUCACUAGUGGGUGACCCCCCUCACAGCUGUGGUUAGGACUAAGCCCCGCUCUGUGUAAGUGAGAAUGUGUCCCUGUCCACCUGUGGGACAGAAAUGAGAGUCUUCUGUUCUUGAUUCUUGGGGAAGGUUUUCACAAAUUCUGUAUUGCAGAAUUUUUAUGUGUACUAGGUUUCCUCUACCUUUUAAUUUUUGAUAUCCAGGUAUUAAACUUAAUAUGUUCAUUCUUGUCUGGCCUCUUGGGAUACUCGGUCACCUAUACACAACCCAGGAGACAGAUUUUCAUUUACUUUCAGUGAGGGCUGGGACU
Molecule: long non-coding RNA, 1095 nt
Filed under: Cricetulus griseus (Chinese hamster)
Lineage: Eukaryota; Metazoa; Chordata; Mammalia; Rodentia; Cricetidae
Description: lncRNA (ENSCGRG00000026292.1)
Source: RNAcentral